Molecule: ribosomal RNA, 253 nt
Filed under: uncultured bacterium
Lineage: Bacteria
Description: partial 16S ribosomal RNA
Rfam family: Bacterial small subunit ribosomal RNA
Source: RNAcentral
UACAGAGGGUGCGAGCGUUAAUCGGAAUUACUGGGCGUAAAGCGUGCGUAGACGGUUAUGUAAGUCAGGUGUGAAAGCCCCGGGCUCAACCUGGGAACUGCGUCCGAUACUGGAAGGCUUGAAUCCGGGAGAGGGAUGCGGAAUUCCAGGUGUAGCGGUGAAAUGCGUAGAUAUCUGGAGGAACACCGGUGGCGAAGGCGGCAUCCUGGACCAACACUGACGCUGAGGAGCGAAAGCCAGGGGAGCAAACGGG